This is a non-coding RNA of Fukomys damarensis (Damara mole-rat), 301 nucleotides long. The record is from Rfam. Lineage: Eukaryota; Metazoa; Chordata; Mammalia; Rodentia; Bathyergidae.
UGAGGUGAGGGUGAUCUGAGUGCAACAUCUGUCACCCCAAUGAUUGUAAGGGUUGAUUUGGCUGAUCUGGCUGGCUAGGUAAGUGAACCCCUUUUGCUCUCAUUGCUCCAGGUGUGUCCCUCCCAAAGUUGUGGUUGAAGAAGAUGACCACCCCGAUAAAGGAGGACUGUUUCCUCAGCCAAGGAUAUACAAGUAGCUGUGCUCCCCCUGAUAGAACCUCCAAAUAAGCUCCCAAUGACUUAUUCUGAAUGGCAGGCUACAGUUAGAGGAUUCUAAUGCUGUACCCAGCAUAUUAUCAGAG